UCUUCACAUCGCUCCUUCAGCAUGGUGUUCCUGCUGCAUUAAAAAACAUCUGACAGCAUAACUUGCUCCUCCACAGCAAAGCCCGGGAUGUGUACUGGCAGCUUAUCAUGGGCCAACACUGAAUACACACUUGGGGAAAAGUAAAACAGCAAAGUGAGACUUCCUUAGAGAACUCUCCCAACAUCUUGAGAUUUGCAUGUCAGCGCCUUCCGGAGCCAGAGAAACAGUGGUGACAGUGACCCAGAAUUUUCAAAGUGUUCAGAAGGUGCAGUGGGGCCAAGGGGUCCGAAAACUUUGAGACCAGGCUCCUUUGAACACAAGUGCACCUCUAAAUACCUCCGUGGAUCUUCAUCUAGACUCACAUUGCUCUUGGAUAAAGACAGUUAUCGCUGCGCAUAUUCACAGCAUCCUGGAGGCAUACGGUGAGAUCUAAAAGCAUGUGCAGGCUUUUUUGGUGCUGAUAUAUAGGUUUAGACCUUUGUGCUUCUAGACAAAUGAAGGCCGCACACUCAGAUCAAGUACUGCUUGACAAUUGUCCUCACUACUGAAUUGCCACUUAAUUGCCUGACUUGGUUUUAGACUGUACUCAAGAAGAGUCUUCUACAGAGAGGGGUAAG
Long non-coding RNA from Neopsephotus bourkii (Bourke's parrot), 617 nucleotides. RefSeq lists it as uncharacterized. NCBI's taxonomy places the organism in Eukaryota, Metazoa, Chordata, Aves, Psittaciformes, Psittacidae. The record is from RefSeq and is a predicted model, not a curated record. The transcript has 3 exons.